RNAcentral lists this ribosomal RNA (660 nucleotides) under Sarcogyne regularis. RNAcentral's name for it is "SSU rRNA". It matches the Rfam family "Bacterial small subunit ribosomal RNA", at positions 399 to 1124 of the family's 1533-position model. Lineage: Eukaryota; Fungi; Ascomycota; Lecanoromycetes; Acarosporales; Acarosporaceae. The record is from RNAcentral.
GCUAGUUGUAUUAACUAUUAGUUAAUACAAGAUCGACUAUGUCGACUAAAGUUCUAGGUAGAAUAAUGAUGAUGACAAUUUUCUACCUAUAUGUCUUGACCAAAUCUCGUGCCAGCAGUCGCGGUAAUACGUGAAAGACUAGUGUUAUUCAUCUUUAAUAGGUUUAAAGGGUACCUAGACGGUUUAUCUAGCCCAAAACAGGGUACGGAUUUUCUAGAGUUUUAUGUGAGGAGGGGAGUACUCAUAGAGUAAAGAUGAAAUUUUGUGAUACUAUGGGGAAACUGGUGGCGGCGAAAGCAACCUUCUAUGUAUAAACUGACGUUGAGGGACGAAGGCUUGGGUAGCAAAUAGGAUUAGAUACCCUAGUAGUCCAAGCAGACAAUUCUGAAUGCCAUAGAUUAGAUUUUUUUUUGGUCUAUAAAUGAAAGUGUAAGCAUUCCACCUUAGGAGUAAUGUGGCAACACAGGAACUGAAAUCAUUAGACCGUUUCUGAAACCAGUAGUGAAGUAUGUUAUUUAAUUUGUUAGUCCUCAAAAAACCUUACCACAACUUGAAUAUUAUUUAAUUAAUACAAGCGUUGCACGGCUGUCUUCAGUUAAUGUCGUGAGAUUUUGGUUAACUCCCUCAAUUAACGUAAACCCUUACUUUAUUUUUUUUUUA